Molecule: non-coding RNA, 81 nt
Organism: Camillea tinctor
Lineage: Eukaryota; Fungi; Ascomycota; Sordariomycetes; Xylariales; Graphostromataceae
Source: the annotation of a GenBank genome assembly
GCCCAGCUGGCGCAAUGGUUAGCGUUUUUGACUUCUAUCAAGAACAUCAAAAGGUUGCCGGUUCGAGUCCGGCGUUGGGUG